CUUCAGUAGGAGAGCGAAGUGACGGUACCUGCAGAGAGCGCGCUACUACGUGCCAGCAGCGCGUUAUACGUAGGGGCAGCGUAUCGAUAUGGCGUAAGAGCUCGUAGCGUUGUCGCGUCUGCCGUGAAAGUCGGGCUCACUCCGGAUCUGCGUGGGUACGGCAGACUAGAGUGAUGUAGGGAGACUGAAUCCUGUGUAGCGUGAAAUGCGCAGAUAUCAGGAGGACACCGAUGGCGAGGCAGGUCUCUGGGCAUUUACUGACGCUGAGGAGCGGAAGCAUGGUGUGAGCGGAAACCAGAGAGAUACCCUGGUAGUCAUGCAGUAAACGUUGGGCACUAGGUGUGGGGGACAUUCCACGUUUUCCGCGCCGUAGCUAACGCAUUAAGUGCCCCGCCUGGGGAGUACGGCCGCAAGGCUAAAACUCAAAGGAAUUGACGGGGGCCCGCACAAGCGGCGGAGCAUGCGGAUUAAUUCGAUGCAACGCGAAGAACCUUACCAAGGCUUGACAUGAACCGGAAAGAUCUGGAAACAGGUCCCCCACUUGUGGUCGGUUUACAGGUGGUGCAUGGUUGUCGUCAGCUCGUGUCGUGAGAUGUUGGGUUAAGUCCCGCAACGAGCGCAACCCUCGUUCUAUGUUGCCAGCACGUGAUGGUGGGGACUCAUAGGAGACUGCCGGGGUCAACUCGGAGGAAGGUGGGGACGACGUCAAAUCAUCAUGCCCCUUAUGUCUUGGGCUUCACGCAUGCUACAAUGGCCGGUACAAAGGGUUGCGAUACUGUGAGGUGGAGCUAAUCCCAAAAAGCCGGUCUCAGUUCGGAUUGGGGUCUGCAACUCGACCCCAUGAAGUCGGAGUCGCUAGUAAUCGCAGAUUCAGCAACGCUGCGGUGAAUACGUUCCCGGGCCUUGUACACACCGCCCGUCAAGUCACGAAAGUUGGUAACACCCGAAGACAGGUGGCCUAACCCUGUGGAGUGAGCUGUCUAUAUAUGAGCUUCCCUCU
RNAcentral lists this ribosomal RNA (1000 nucleotides) under Arthrobacter sp. RNAcentral's name for it is "bacterial SSU rRNA". It matches the Rfam family "Bacterial small subunit ribosomal RNA", at positions 451 to 1473 of the family's 1533-position model. The record is from RNAcentral. Lineage: Bacteria; Bacillati; Actinomycetota; Actinomycetes; Micrococcales; Micrococcaceae.